This is a long non-coding RNA of Oncorhynchus masou masou (cherry salmon), 476 nucleotides long. RefSeq lists it as uncharacterized. The transcript has 3 exons. The record is from RefSeq and is a predicted model, not a curated record. NCBI's taxonomy places the organism in Eukaryota, Metazoa, Chordata, Actinopteri, Salmoniformes, Salmonidae.
UCAGGUUUCCAUGGAGAUGAGUACUCUCAGAAGGAAGCGUAUUGAGUUGCUCCAAGGGAUACAAGGUGGUGUUGAGAGCCUUUCCCUGCCCAGAGUGAAGAGCUGUGAAGAGGAGAUGCCUUUAGAGAUGCCCUCCGCCCUGCUGUCGCCUCUAACAGAACCCCCUGUCGCCAGUCCUAACCAGGUUCCCCUCUACCUCCCCCCUGCUCCACGCCCCCCUCCCUGUCCCCUAGCCACCAGACCCACCCCCAGCCUAUCACACAGUCAGUAGUUAUCAAGCAGGAGCCCCUGUCCCCUGGCAGGGUGACCACUAAGACGGAGGAUGCGGAGAGCGCAGUGACCGUUCACCACGGCUCUCACAGCACCACGUCAGAGCCCACGCCCAUCGCUACAGCCCCUCACGCAGAUUGUGCCGCCAGCUGCCAACCGGUCCGAGGAGGAGGUCUGAGCGUCACAGAGUCCACAGAGAGCUCUCU